RNAcentral lists this ribosomal RNA (725 nucleotides) under Lutibacter sp. RNAcentral describes it as "bacterial SSU rRNA". It matches the Rfam family "Bacterial small subunit ribosomal RNA", at positions 28 to 744 of the family's 1533-position model. Lineage: Bacteria; Pseudomonadati; Bacteroidota; Flavobacteriia; Flavobacteriales; Flavobacteriaceae. The record is from RNAcentral.
GAUGAACGCUAGCGGCAGGCUUAACACAUGCAAGUCGAGGGGUAACAGGGAAGAGCUUGCUUUUCUGCUGACGACCGGCGCACGGGUGCGUAACGCGUAUAGAACCUACCUUUUACAGGGGAAUAGCCCAGAGAAAUUUGGAUUAAUGCCCCAUAGUAUUAUUGAAUGGCAUCAUUUAAUAAUUAAACAUUUAUGGGUAAAAGAUGGCUAUGCGUUCUAUUAGCUAGAUGGUAAGGUAACGGCUUACCAUGGCAACGAUAGAUAGGGGUCCUGAGAGGGAGAUCCCCCACACUGGUACUGAGACACGGACCAGACUCCUACGGGAGGCAGCAGUGAGGAAUAUUGGACAAUGGAGGCAACUCUGAUCCAGCCAUGCCGCGUGCAGGAAGACGGUCCUAUGGAUUGUAAACUGCUUUUAUAUAGGAAGAAACCUUUCCACGUGUGGAAAGCUGACGGUACUAUAAGAAUAAGCACCGGCUAACUCCGUGCCAGCAGCCGCGGUAAUACGGAGGGUGCAAGCGUUAUCCGGAAUCAUUGGGUUUAAAGGGUCCGUAGGCGGACUAAUAAGUCAGGGGUGAAAUCCAACAGCUUAACUGUUGAACUGCCUUUGAUACUGUUAGUCUUGAGUUAUAUGGAAGUAGAUAGAAUAUGUAGUGUAGCGGUGAAAUGCUUAGAGAUUACAUAGAAUACCGAUUGCGAAGGCAGUCUACUACGUAUAUACUGAC